This 497-nucleotide ribosomal RNA is filed under the name uncultured bacterium. Its description in RNAcentral is "partial 16S ribosomal RNA". It matches the Rfam family "Bacterial small subunit ribosomal RNA", at positions 28 to 507 of the family's 1533-position model. The record is from RNAcentral.
GAUGAACACUGGCGGCGUGCCUAAUACAUGCAAGUCGAGCGAACAGACGAGGAGCUUGCUCCUUUGACGUUAGCGGCGGACGGGUGAGUAACACGUAGGUAACCUACCUAUAAGACUGGGAUAACUUCGGGAAACCGGAGCUAAUACCGGAUAAUAUUUCGAACCGCAUGGUUCGAUAGUGAAAGAUGGCUUUGCUAUCACUUAUAGAUGGACCUGCGCCGUAUUAGCUAGUUGGUAAGGUAACGGCUUACCAAGGCAACGAUACGUAGCCGACCUGAGAGGGUGAUCGGCCACACUGGAACUGAGACACGGUCCAGACUCCUACGGGAGGCAGCAGUAGGGAAUCUUCCGCAAUGGGCGAAAGCCUGACGGAGCAACGCCGCGUGAGUGAUGAAGGUCUUCGGAUCGUAAAACUCUGUUAUUAGGGAAGAACAAACGUGUAAGUAACUGUGCACGUCUUGACGGUACCUAAUCAGAAAGCCACGGCUAACUACGUG